Molecule: ribosomal RNA, 253 nt
Filed under: uncultured bacterium
Lineage: Bacteria
Description: partial 16S ribosomal RNA
Rfam family: Bacterial small subunit ribosomal RNA
Source: RNAcentral
UACGGGGGGGGUAAGCGUUGUUCGGAAUUACUGGGCGUAAAGGGCUCGUAGGCGGCCAACUAAGUCAGACGUGAAAUCCCUCAGCUUAACUGGGGAACUGCGUCUGAUACUGGAUGGCUUGGAUUUGGGAGAGGGAUGCGGAAUUCCAGGUGUAGCGGUGAAAUGCGUAGAUAUCUGGAGGAACACCGGUGGCGAAGGCGACAUCCUGGACCAAUAUUGACGCUGAGGAGCGAAAGCCAGGGGAGCAAACGGG